GGAAAGGCUAAUAGCGUUCACGACGAACCACAUGGAGAAGCUCGACCCAGCUCUGAUUCGGCGAGGAAGGAUGGACAAGCACAUCGAAUUAUCAUACUGUAGCUUUGAAUCAUUCAAGGUGCUGGCUAAGAACUAUCUGGAGCUUGAUUCCCACUACCUGUUCGACACGAUUGAGAGGCUGUUGGGGGAAAGUAAAGUGACCCCAGCUGAUGUUGCUGAGCAUUUGAUGCGUAAGAAUACAAGUGUGGCUGAUGCUGAAACAAGCUUGAAGAGCCUGGUUCAGGCAUUGGAGAUGGCCAAGAAAGAAGCAAUGUUGAAGGCCAAGGAAGAAGGCAAAGAGGAGUCAUCUGCUAGGGAAGAAGAUUGAUGAUCACUGACAAUAGAGACUGUGAUUGUGUUUAUCAUUCUGAAUUAAUUCCUGGGAAUUAUGAAAUAUUGGUCAAGUUAAUAGUUUGGUAAUUGAGGUUAAUGGGAAAUGCAUAUGGUGACCAAUUCUGAAGAUCUUUUCUAGGGCUUAAGACAUGGGAAAGGACUAGAGAAAUGAGAGAUGAAGAUAUUGGGAGGAAAGGAUAAGAGAAAUGAAAGGGGGAAGUUUGUGCCUAAUGAAUAUUUUUACAACGGAAGAAUGAAUGCCGAACACUUCUUUUAUGGAAAUUGAACAAGUUAGUAAUAUAAACAUUGUUCGAGCCCUUUGAUAGUGAUUUUAAAAAAUAUUUUUAAUAUUUAAAAAAUUUUAUUAUUCAAGUUUUAAAAAUAUUAAAAACGUUUUCUACUAACCUUAUCAAACAUAUUUUUCAUUUACUAAUAAAAAAAAGUGUUUUUCAAUAGUUGCAAUCAUACUUGGUUUGACUAUGCUUUUAGAUAACAUAUAUAAUAUCAAUAACAUUUAUCAAGAAAUCAAACAUUUGAAAAGAUUAAUAUUUUGAAAGUAAGGUAAAUAUCUAUUUUUUAAUAUAUUUUUAUAAUAUAAUAAGGCCUAUGAUUUAAUAAUUUAAAAUUUUAAAAAUGAAUUUUAACCAUAUUAAAUAAAAAAAUAAUAUUAAAAUAAUUUAUUUAAGUUGUUUAAUUCCAUAUGGAAAAAAAGAUUAAAUUUUUUUGAAUUAUUUAAUUUUUAUAUAAAAGAGAAAAAUAAAUAAAUUAUUUUUAGAAAUCAAAUUAUAAUUGGAAAUUAAAUAUGAAAAACAUUUUUUUGAAUUUUUUUUGUAUAAACAUAUUAUAAAUUUAGCAUAGUAUAAAAAUACUCAAUCUUACUUAAUUUAAAGUUCAUUAAUUUUUUUUAAAAAAAUAUAAUUAUAUGUAAAGGGAAAAACUAAUAAACUUAUUCAAAUUGAAUUUUGGUUUCUAACUUUUUAAUGUUAACUGUAUCAAUUUUGAGUUCAUAACUGUAGUAUUAAUUGAUUCGAUUUUAAAAUUUUAAAUUAUUUUUAAAAAUUAAUGAAUUUUAUAUAUAAAGUCUUACUUGAUUUGUCUUAAGAAAAAGAAAAAAUAGAUAAGUUAAAGGAGAAUUUUAUUAAAAUACAUAUAAUUUAAAGUGAGACCAUAUUUAAAGAUUUUCUGUAUCAUUAUUGGGUAAUGAAGGAAAAUGUAUGAAGAAAGAUACAAUGCUAUACUAUUUUUUGCUUUUUAUGAUUUUUUUUUUCUAAAUUUUUCUUUUCUUUUUAAUAACUAGUGAAAACAAAUUUUAUUUAUCUUUUAAAAAUUAUUUUCUAUUUCCCUUGUUUCUAAAAACAGUUAAAACAAGCACUUUUUGGAUGCAACACCUAGAAGGACAAUCUCCUCCUAGCUUCCUUCCUUCAUGGCUUCCCAUUAGUAGCCUAUGGUUUAACCAAUGACCGUUUGCAUAUGGCAUAAAAAUAAAAGAAAGAAAAAACAUUAAACUUAGAGUUGUUAGUUGCUCAAUAAACCUUUUGUGUAGGUUCCUAAACUUAUAUUUUGUUUUUGAGAAGUAAUAACGUUAUGUUUGAUUUCUGAAAGUAUAAAAAUCAAAAACUAAGAAAAAUGACUUUCUCGUGUUGGAUUUAUAAUAAAAAAUACAAAAAUAAAAUAAAAUAACUAAAAUAAGUUAAAAAUGUAUUUAUUUUGAAAAUAUUUAAUCUUUAUAAAAAAAGAAAAAAAUUAAAAUGAGUUUAAAGAAAUAUAUAAAAAUGAAUAUUAACAUUAAUUUUUAUUUUUAUUUUUUUCUCUUAUAUUUUUUUCUCAAAAUUUCUAAAAUCCAAGUAGAGUAUAAAGGAAAUAAAAAUUAUUUUCUCACUAUGUAUCAUACAAAAUACGAGAGAAAAUAAAAUAUAAUUAAAAAUAAUUAAAACUUAUAUGUCUUGAAAUUAUUUAAUUUUUUUUUAUAUAAACCAUGAAAAAUAAGUGAAAUAAGUUUUAAAAAUAUAUAAAAUAAUUUAUUAAAUUUAAAUUUAUUUUUUAUUUUCUUUAAUAUUUUCUUUAAUGCAAAAUACCUGCAGAUAGAAUUUCCUCAAGGAUGGCAUAGAGUGGAAUGCUCCAUGAAGUGUGGCCCACGCAGGCCCAACGUCACAAUCAAGGACCAUGCCGUCCCGAGCCCAAGCCCAAGUCCAAGCUAAACCGAAAGCUAAGGGAGGGCCCAAUCCGAGGAACAUAGCCCAUCAUGGAAUCUAAAACCAACCCAUGAAUUAAUGGCUCGUGCUCAAUUGCUAAUUCAUGAUUAACCAUUGUUUUAGUUGCCAACAAAGGUUAAGCCCUGAGUCAAUUUGUGCUAAUCCCAUCCGCACAACAAUUUUGACCAAAAUACCAUUUUUUUAAUAUUUAUUUAAGCAUGAUAUAUUUUCAAAACUAAUAAUUAACUUACAUAACUUUUUGAGAAAUUAAUUGAAAAUCGACAUCAAUUCAAAUAUUGAAGCUGGUCGGCUUUUCAACUUUUUCCACUUUUUUUGACUCUAAUCGAUAAUAAUUGAAUUAGACAAAAUUCUAAGAUUUUAAUAUAUAUAUAUAUAUAUAUAUAUAUAUUUUUAAUAACUAUGGAUGUCCGGAGCAGCUUAUGUUGGUCUGGACUAAUCCCAUGAGGUCCUGAAGUUAAGGGCCUGAAGUUAAGGGUGAGAAAUUAACUGAAAAUCGACAUCAAUUCAAAUAUUGAAGUUGGUCGGCCUUUUAACUUUUUCCGCUUUUUUUUUUUACUCUAACCGAUAAUAAUUGAAUUAGACAAAUAUUCUAAGAUUUUAAUAUGUUUUUUUAUUAUUUAUUUAAUAAUUGUGGAUGUCCGGAGCAGCUUAUGCUGGCAUGGACUAAUCCCAUGGGGCUCUGAAGUUAAGGGUCGGGUAAACCUCCAAUGGCCCUAAGGGGACUUGAACUGGUGACCAUUGGAGAGCAAAUCCAAGGUCGGACCAACAAAGUUACUCCCUAAGAUUAUAAAAUUUUCAUAUCUUAUUUGAUGUUUGACGAAUUUUUUUAUUAUUUAUUAGUAUAUAUAUUUGUAAAUACUAUUAAAAUAAUUCAUUGUUGCUAGACUAUAUUCAAAUUAAUUUGUAAGUACAUUUAUUAUAUUUCAAACUAAAAACUUUAAGGUUACGUUUGGUUCCGAAAAGUAUAAGAGAAAGAAAAAAAAAUGUUGGGUUAUAUUUGGUUUUUGAAAAAUGCUGUAGAAAGAAAAAAGUAUUAAAGUAAAUUAUUUUUUCAUAUUAGGUUUUAUUAUAGAAAAUAUAAAAGAAAAUUAAAUAUAAUUAAAAUUAAUUUGAAAUUUACAUGUUUUUAAAUUAUUUAAUUUUACUAUAAUGGAGAGAAAAAAGUAAAAUGAGUUUAAAGAAAUGUAUAAAAAUAAUUUAUUAAAUUAUUUUUUUUUCUUCACUUUUUUUUUUUUUACUUUUCCUCUCUAUUUUAUUUUCUUCACAUUUUCUUGAGAAUUUUAUGGGAACGGAACAUAACUUUAAUGAAAUCAAAUAUUUAGCCCCGCAUUAAUAUUCGAGAUACAUUUUCAAAAUUCAUAUUUUUGUUCAUAAACAUUAUGCAUUAUAUUAUUGUCGAGCAUCAUAAGUUAUACAUAUUAAUUUUUUAAUAUAACGACUUCAAUAUAUCUAUUAUAAUUAUUUGUUUUAUCAUUUUUAGAAGUUUUUUUUUAAUUAAAGAAACAUAAAUAAAAAUAACAAAUGAGAAGAACACGAGAACUAUUUGAUAAAAUUUUAUAUUUGGUCACCUGUAUUUAAUCCAAUCAAAUUAACCUUUUACAUAAAAGGUCUGACUACAAUAUUGAAGGUACUUUAAAAAAACAUUAUCAAUCAAAUAAUACCGUAUAUAUAAAUUAUGGUCUCACUAUUUAUACUUUGGUUUUAUUUGUUUGUAUUUUUAUAUUUUUAUGAUAUUCAUAUGUAUACUCUUGUUUAAUGAUUUAAAUUUCAUUAUUUAUAUUUUGACGAUUAUUUAUAUUAAAGAGCAUGAUAUGAAUAUCGAAUUUAAACGAGAUAAGUUAAGGUUUUUAGAAAAAUUGAGAGAUGAACGUGGCAUUAGGAUUUGGUAGACGUGAACCUCAUGGGUUUGAACCACCAUCUCUAGAUGGAUUGCAACAUGAUGUAGUGCCAUGACACAUUGAAAUGACGCAAUGACUGCCGUCCAUUCACUUGCUAACUAGUCAGCUACAACACUCCCCAUUUAUUAAAUUAGAUAUAGAGAAGAUACAAAUUUCUCAAAGGUCGGUCAUAUUUAAUAAUAAUAAUAAUAAAUGUCACAGCAUUUCCAUCCACCUUUUUUCACACCUAUUGGUAAGGGUAGGAGCGUGGCUGACUCGACCUCAUCUUCCUAGUGGGCACCAGCGGACAAAGCUCCACUCGAUUACGAAGAACCAACUAUAGUGUGAGACAGGCCUAUUCGUUUGGUCAUGGAGUGGAUGUUUCGACUUGGAAGGAAAAAAAGGGAGGAAGGGAGGAGGACCCACAGUCCAGUGUCGUCGAAAUAUGGUCUAUAUGAGUUGCAUGUAUGGCACCCUAGCUGUAUUUUUUCACGAGGCAGAGAAUAUUUCCAGCGACUUUGAAGUCGUUUUCCACUCGUAUAUGGCAGCAGGGAGUGGUGGGUGCAAAUGACUCAUCUUUGAUGGGAUGUGCCGGGAAAGUCGUGUGAAUCCAAGAUUUAUAAAUAUAUAAAGUUACCAAGCUUUGGUCAUGUUUGCUAACUUUGCUGCCAAGUUGAUAGAAAAUAGAUGGCUUUAAGUACGUUUUCUAGUUGUUUUUAUUUCUUUUUGGAUAAUUAAUUUAAAAUAUAUAUAUAUAUAUAUAUAUAAUUUACAAAAACAUUUCAAGUUACUAAAUAAACUUUUAUUCUGUAAAACAUUCUUUCAAAAAAUUAUGAUGGUGUUUGGUAAUGGUUUUUUAAAAUAAUUUUGAAAAAUGGUUUUUUUAGAAAAUUGUUAUUUGAUUUUUUGUAAAACAAAAAUUUGUUUCGAAAUCUAAAAUGUUUUUAAUCUAUUUUUAAUAUUUUAAAAAUAUUUUUUCUUUAUAUCUAAAACUUUAUUUUUAAUCAUUAUAAAUGUUUGUAUGAGUAUUUUUUUAAAACAGUUCUUAAAAAAUAAAUGAAAACAAUUAAAAAAAAACUAAAAGAUGUUUUAUAAAAAUAAAAAAUUAUUCUAAAAAAUAGUUAUUAAAUAAAACCUUUACUUUGAUAUAAAAACAAAAUAACGAAGGAGAAAGAAGAGGCACUAAAAAGGUUUAUUUGAUGAAAAAGUUCAUUGAAAAUAAUGAUUUUCCUUCUUUGAAAAAAUUGAAAUUAUAACUUCUUUCAAUAAAAAUAUCUUUUAACAAUUUUUGAAUUUUUAUCCCUCAUUAAACAGUUUUUUGGAUAAAAAGUUGAAGGGGUAAAAAUGCCAAAAUGAGGUUAUAUAUAUGUAAUUUGCAAUACAUAAAAGUUAUAUUUUUUUCAACAUUUUCGCAUCCUUUAUAAUCCAAUAUUUCGAUGAAAAACUAUUUUUCGAACUUGAAAAUAAGUUUGAUAAUUCUUUGAUAGAAAAUUUAUUUUGAAAAUGUGGCAUUUUUUGAGAAUAUUUUUUUUUUUUUUCAAUUAUUUUGGGUAUUAUAAAUAAAAGUUAUUUUAAAAAAAUAUUUAAAAGUUAAGUUAUAAACAGACUUAACUGUUUUUGAAAUUUUUUUACAAAGAAGAUGAUUUCUUUUUAUCCGACAUUAUAAAAGUGAAGAAAAUAAUAUGAGAAAAAAGAGAGGAAAAUAUUAAGGGAAAAAUGAAGAGGAAAAAUAUGAGGGACAAAAAUAAAAAGAAAAUUUUUGUUUAGUUGAAUAAAGGAAAAACAAUAUUAAAUCAUUUAAAGAAAAUAUUCCUUGGUAUUACUUUCAUAGCUUUUUCUUUGAUAUAAAAAAAAAGAAAAAAAAAUCAUUUUCCUUAACUCUUUUUUCAUACAUCCAAAUAUUAGAAAAUGAUUGCUUUUAGAUUAUUUUUUUUCAUUUCUUAUUACUUUUCAAAAAUCAAACAUAAUUUUAGAUAAAUGUAAAAAAAAAAAAAGAAGCAAAAUUUAUAAAAUAAAAUUUAUCCACUAAAAUUCAUAUUAAAAAUAAAAUUUCAAAUAUUAAGGGUUUGUUUGACAACUGUUUUCAAGAAUAGUUUUAUAUUUUUUAGAACAAAAAAAUUGUAAAACAUAUUUGGCAACCAAAAAACCAUUUUAUGUUUUAUGUUCCCAAAAUUAGAAAAUAUGAGAUUUUCAAAAAAUAUCUUUUAGUUAUUUUCAAUUAUUUUUUGUUGUUUUUGGAAAACUGUUUUAAAAAAUAAUUAUAAAAACAUGUAUAAUAAUUAAAAAUAAAUCUCUAGAUAUAAAAAUUAUUUUUAAAACAUAUUUAAAAAUAUUAAAAAUAGGUUAAAAAUUUUUCAGGUUUUCAAAUAGACUUUUAUUCUAGAAAACAUCAAAGAAUAAUUUAAAAAAAAUUUUAAAUCUAUUUUUAAAAACAGUUAUCAAACAUGACCUAAUCUUCUAACAUUAUGAGCACAUAAAGAGAUAGAGAAAACACUUUCCAUAUUUCAAAAGUCUUAUGAAUCUAAGAAAAUGUUAAAAAUAGGAGAAAAAAAAGUAAAAAAAAAAUGUAAAUUCUUUUAUUUAUUUAUUUUAUGACAAAAAAUAAGAAUUAAAAUUAAAUAUAAUAAAAUUUAUUUAAAAUUUUAUAGAUAUUCAAAUACUAAUUUAUAUAUAUAUAAGAGAAGGGUAAAAAUAGAAAAAUAAGGCAUGUUUGGUAACUGUUUUCGGAAAUAGUUUUGAAAAAUAAUUUUUUGAAAACUGUUCUUUGAUAUUUUGUAAAAUAAAAGUAUGUUUGCAAACGUAAUUUUUUUUAAUAUUUUAAAAUAUGUUUUAAAAGUAAUUUUUAUAUCUAAUAUAUUUUAUUUUUAAUUAUUCUACAUGUUUGUAUAAUUAUUUUUUAACAUAGUUCUCAGAAAAUAUGUGAAAACAAUAAAAAAUAAUCAAAAGAUAUUAUCUAAAAACACUAUUAAAAACAUAAAAUAGAAAAUAGUUUUUGGUUAUAAAACAUAUUUUCAUAGUUUUUUUGUUUUGAAGAAUAGAAAACUAUUUUAAAAAAUAGUUAUCAAACAAACCCAAGAAAUUAACGAUACUUCUUUAUCUUUUGAGUUGUUCUGCCAAAUUGGUCUCUUAAGACCUUUGGUUUCUGCCUAGACCGAUGAAAAAAAUGGGAUCACUUCUUAUGGACUUGUUGAAAAUGAUUCUGAUAUAGUUUACAACUUAUUAGAAAAAAAAAAAAUCGAUCUAGUGAGAUUCUCAUGAAUAGAAAAAAAUGGUAGUCAAUUUGAUAACGAUGAUAUUACUUUUUCAGAACUAAGGAAUACCUUAUAUAUAAUGUUUAGAAAAUCAAAUUUACAUAAUAAAAACUUUAUGAAUAUUCUGAAAUAAUUUUAAAAAAUAGUUUUUAAAAAUAUUUUUCAAUUAUUUUCAAGAUUAAAUUUGGAAACUCAAAUAAAAUAUUUAAAAAACAUUUUUUUCUUGCAUGAUACAAUUUUAAAAGCAUUAUCUUUAUUUUAGUUGUAAUUAACAAUUUAUAAAAUAAUACAACUAAAAUACCUGAACUUUAAAAAAUAAUUCGCUUGGAGAGUAAUUAAUUUUUUUUUAAAUAUAAAAAAGUGUUUUAAUUAGAAAAUUAUUUUCUAUUUCAGAUGAGGGGUUUUAUGUACUUUCCUUCCUCUUUCUUUCCCAUUUCCAUACCUUUUUCUCAAUCCUGUGGACAUCCAAGCAGAGCGUCUAUAUAAGGAGAUAUAACACAUCCCCUGAGUAUGGGGACACGUGAGAAGACAAAGACAAGGGAAGAAAAUGGGGGAGACGCUGGGGAAUUUGGGGUCUGUAAUGGCGACAUUGAUGUUCAUCUGGGCUAUGUUCCGGCAAUACUUCCCUUGCGACCUCAUCGAAAAAUACUCCCACAGAUUGAUGAAGUUUUUCUACCCUCACAUCCAAAUCACUUUCGAUGAAUACGGCAGAGGUCAUUUCAUGCGCCAUGAAUUCUACACCGCCAUCGAGACCUACCUCAGCUCCAAUACCGCCGACCAAGCCAACCGCCUCAAAGCCAACACCGCCAAAAACAACCAGUCACUGGUUCUCACCAUUGAUGACGGUGAAGAGGUUGAAGAUGAGUUUGAGGGAGUGAAGCUGUGGUGGACUCCAAGGACGAUCACAGCCGAAACUCGGACCUCCCGCUCCUAUGAGCAGCCGGAUGAGAAGAGGUACUACCGGCUGACUUUCCACAAGAAACACCGGGAUUUGAUCACCAAGAAGUACCUCAGUCAUGUGUUGAGGGUAGGGAAGGCGAUUAAGGUCAGAACCCGGCAGCGGAAGCUUUAUACCAACAGUUGGUCGAUGUGGAGCCAUGUGGUUUUUGAUCACCCUGCAACUUUUCAAACGCUUGCCAUGGAGGCUGAUAAGAAGAGGGAGCUGAUCGAGGACUUGGUUUCUUUCAGCAAGGCUGAAGAUUUCUAUGCAAGAAUUGGGAAAGCUUGGAAGCGGGGUUACCUCCUUUAUGGCCCUCCUGGGACGGGAAAAUCUACCAUGAUUGCUGCCAUGGCGAAUCUGUUGCUGUACGACGUCUAUGAUCUUGAACUGACGGCGGUCAGUGACAACACCAUGCUGAGGAAGCUGCUGAUGCAGAUUCCGAGCAAGUCCAUCACUGUGAUUGAGGACAUCGACUGCUCCCUCAACUUGACGGGUCAGAGGAAGAAGAUGAAGGAGAACAAGGCGGCCGAGGAGGAAGAGAAGGACCCCAUUAAAAAACAAGCGAAGGUAAGAGACUCUGAUGAAGGGAAAACCAGCAAGGUGACUCUCUCCGGGCUGUUGAACUUCAUUGACGGCCUUUGGUCGGCCUCCAAGGGGGAAAGGCUAAUAGUGUUCACGACGAACUACAUGGAGAAGCUCGACCCAGCUCUGAUUCGGCGAGGAAGGAUGGACAAGCACAUCGAAUUGUCAUACUGCAGCUUUGAAUCAUUCAAGGUGCUGGCGAAGAACUAUCUGGAGCUUGAUUCCCACCACCUGUUCGACACGAUUGAGAGGCUGUUGGGGGAAAGUAAAGUGACCCCAGCUGAUGUUGCUGAGCAUUUGAUGCCUAAGACAAGUGUGGCUGAUGUUGAAACAAGCUUGAAGAGCCUGGUUCAGGCAUUGGAGAUGGCCAAGGAAGAAGCAAUGUUGAAGGCCAAGGAAGAAGGCAAAGACAAGGAAGAAGGCAAAGAGGAGUCAUCUGCUAGGGAAGAAGAUUGAUGAUCAUUGGCAAUAGAGACUAUGAUUGUGUUUAUCCUUCUGAAUUAAUUCCUGGGAAUUAUGAAAUAUUGGUCAAGUUAAUAGUUUGGUAAUUGAGGUUAAUGGGAAAUGCAUAUGGUGACCAAUUCUGAAGAUCUUUUCUAGGGCUUAAGACAUGGGGGGAAAGGACAAGAGAAAUGAAAGGGGGAAAGUUUGUGCCUAAUGAAUAUUUUUACAGCAGGAGGAUGAAUGCCGAUCACUUCUAUUAUGGAAAUUGAAGACAUAAGUAAUAUAAACGUUAUUUGAGUUUGUUUGACGGUGAUUUUAGAAAGCAUUUUUAACAUUUUUAACAUUUGAAAAUUUUUAUCAUUCAAGUAUUAAAAAUGUUAUCAACGUUUUCUAUCAUUCUUAUUAAACAUACUUUUCAUUUAAUAAAAGAAAGUGUUUUUCAAUAGUUGCAGUCAUACUUGGUUUGACUAUGUUUGUAGAGAACAUUUAUAAUAUAAAUAACAUUUAUCAAGAAAUCAAACAUUUGAAAAGAUUAAUAUUUUGAAAGUAAGGUAAAUAUCUAUUUUUUUAAUAUAUUUUUAGAAUAUAAUAAGGCCUAUGAUUUAAUAAUUUAAAAUUUUAAAAAUGAAUUUUAACCAUAUUAAAUAAAAAAUCAUAUUAAAAUAAUUUAUUUAAGUUGUUUAAUUCCAUAUGGAAAAAAAGAUUAUUAUUUUUUAAUUAUUUAAUUUUUUAUAAAAGAGAAAAAAUAAUUUUUUUUAGGAAUCAAAUUAUAAUUGGAAAUUAAAUAUGAAAAACAUUUUUUUUGAAUUUUUUUUUUGUAUAAACGUAUUAUAAAUUUAGCAUAGUAUAAAAACACUCAAUCUUACUUAAUUUAAAGUUCAUUAAAAAAAAUUAAAAAAUAUAAUUAUAUGUAAAGGGAAAAACUAACAAACUUAUUCAAAUUGAAUUUUGGUUUAUGACUUUUUAAUGUUAAUCGUAUCAAUUUUGAGUUCAUAAUUGUAGUAUUAAUUGAUUCGAUUUUAGAAUUUUAAAUUAUUUUUAAAAAUGACUGAAUUUUAUAUAUAAAGUCUUAUUUGAUUUGAAAUAUAUUUGCCUUAAGAAAAAGAAAAAAUAGAUAAGUUGAAGGAGAAUUUUAUUAAAAUACAUAUAAUUUAAUACGAGACCAUAUUUAAAGAUUUCCGUAUCAUUAUUGGGUAAUGAGAGAAAAUGUAAGAAGAAAGAUACAAUGCUAUACUAUUUUUUUCUUUUUAUGAUUUUUUUUCUAAAUUUUUCUUUUCUUUUUAAAAACUAGUGAAAACAAAUUUUAUUUAUCUUUUAAAAAUUAUUUUCUAUUUCCCUUGCUUCUAAAAACAGUUAAAACAAGCACUUUUUGGAUGCAACACCUAGAAGGACAAUCUCCUCCUAGCUUCCUUCAUUCAUGGCUUCCCAUUAGUAGCUAUCUUUUCGCUAACUUCCACCGCGGUUUAACCAAUGACCGUCAACAUAUGGCAUAAAAAUAAAAAUAAGAAAAAACAUUAAAUUUAGAGUUAUUAGUUGCUCAAGAAACCUUUUGUGUUGGUUCCUAAAGUUAUAUUUUGUUUUUGACGUUAUGUUUGAUUUCUGAAAGUAUAAAAAUAAAAAACUAAGAAAAAUGUAUUUUUUGGAUUUAUAAUAAAAAUACAAAAAUAAAAUAAAAUAACUAAAAUGAGUAAAAAAUGUAUCUAUUUUGAAAAUAUUUAAUCUUUAUAAAAAAAAGAAAAAAAAUUGAAAUGAGUUUGAAGAAACAUAUAAAAAUAAAAAUUAAUAUUAAUUUUUAUUUUUAUUUUUUUCCCUUACAUUUUUUUCUCAAAAUUUCUAAAAUCCAAGUAGAGUAUAAAGGAAAUAAAAAUUAUUAAAAAAAAAUUAUUUUCUCACGAUGUAUCAUACAAAAUACGAGAGAAAAUAAAAUAUAAUUAAAAAUAAUUAAAACUUAUAUGUUUUCAAAUUAUUUAAUUUUUUUUAUAUAAACCAUGAAAAAUAAGUGAAAUAAGUUUUAAAAAUAUAUAAAAAUAAUUUAUUAAAUUUAAAUUUAUUUUUUAUUUUCUUUAAUUUUUUCUUUAAUGCAAAAUACCUGCAGAUAGAAUUUCCUCAAGGAUGGCAUAGAGUAGAAUGCUCCAUGAAGUGUGGCCCAGGCAGGCCCAACGACACAAUCAAGGACCAUGCCGUCCCGAGCCCAAGCCCAAGUCCAAGCUAAACUGAAAGCUAAGGGAGGGCCCAAUCCGAGAACGUAGCCCAUCAUGGAACCCAUAAGAGAAAACCAACCUAUGAAUUAAUGGCUCAUGCUCAAUUGCUAAUUCAUGAUUAACCAUUGUUUUAGUUGCCAACCAAGGUUAAGCCCUGAGUCAAUUUGUGCUUAUCACAUCCGCACAACAAUUUUGACCAAAAUACCAUUUUUUUUAAAUAUUUAUUUAAGCAUGAUAUAUUUUCAAAACUAAUAAUAAAUUUACAUAACUUUUUGAGAAAUUAACUGAAAAUCUUUUUUUUUUUCAAAGUACGACAUCAAUUCAAAUAAUGAAGUUGGUCGACUUCCCAUUAUAUUUUUUCCAACUAGUAUAGAUGGGGGAAGACUUUGAAAUUACCUUUUCCGCUUUUUUUUUACUCUAAUCGAUAGUAAUUGAAUUAGACAAAUAUUCUAAGAUUUUUAUUUUUUUUUAAUAACCGUGGAUGUCCGAGUUAGCUUAUGCUGGCCUCGACUAAUCUCAUGGGGCCUUGAAGUUAAGGGUCGGGACUCGAACUGGUGACCAUUGGGGAGCCAACCCAAGGUCAGACCAACUAAGUUAUCCCUCAAGAUUCUAAGAUUUUCAUAUCUUAUUUGAUGUUUGACGAUUUUUUAUUAUUAUUUAUUAGUAUAUAUAUUUUGUAAAUUCUAUUAACAUAAUUCAUUGUUGCUAGACUAUAUUCAAAUUAAUUUGUAAGCACAUUUAUUAUAUUUCAAACUAAAAAAUUUAAGGUUAUGCUUAGUUCCAGAAAGUACAAAAGAAAGAAAAAAAAUGUUGGACUAUAUUUGGUUUCUAAAAAAUGCUGAUGAAAGAAAAAAAUGUUAAAGUAAAUUAUUUUUUCAUAUUAGGUUAUAUUAUAGAAAAUGUAAAAGAAAAUUAAAUAUAAUUAAAAUUAAUUUGAAAUUUAUAUGUUUUUAAAUUAUUUAAUUAUGCUACAAUGGAGAGAAAAAAGUAAAAUGAGUUUAAAAAAUUGUAUAAAAAUAAUUUAUUAAAUUUAAACUUUUUUUUCUUCACUUGUUUUUUUUUUCUACUUUUCCUCUCUAUUUCCUUUUUUUCGCAUUUUCCUUCAAAUUUCCUGAGAACGAAACAUAACUUUAAUGAAAUCAAAUAUUUAGCCCACAUUAAUAUUCGAUAUACUUUUUCAAAAUUCAUAUUUUUGUUCAUAAACAUUAUAUAUUAUAUUAUUGUUGAACAUCAUAAGUUAUAUAUAUAUAUAUAUAUAUAUUUAAUAUAAGGACUUCAAUAUAUCUAUUAUAAUUAUUUGUUUUAUCAUUUUUAGAAGUUUUUUUUAAUUAAAGAGACAUAAAUAAAAAUAACAAAUGAGAAGAACACAAGAACUACAGUUUUGAAGGUACUUUAAAAAAAACCACUAAUCAGCUAAUACCAUAUAUAUAAUUUAUGGUCUCAUUACUUCAUACUUUGGUUUUAUUCUAUGAUUAUUUAUAUUAAAGAGCAUGUAUAUUGAAGUUAAAUUGAGAGAUGACGUGAACUUAAUGGGUUUGAGCCACCAUCUAUAGAUGGAUUGCAACAUGAUGUAGUGUCAUGACACAAUGAUAUGACGCAAUGGCUGCCGACAAGGCGUCAGCUACAACACUUCCCCAUUUAUUAAAUUAGAUAUAGAGAAGAUCGAUAAUGUUUAAAAAUAAUAAUAAUAGUAAAUGUCACAGCAUUUCUAUCCAUCUUUUUUCACACCUAUUGGUAAGGGUAGCAGCGUGGCUGACUCGACCUCAUCUGCCUGGUGGGCACCAGCGGACAAAGCUCCACUCGAUUACGAAGAACCAGCUGUAGUGUGAGCCUGUGCCUUUUCGUUUGGUCAUGGAGUGGAUCUUUCGACUUGGAAGGGAAAAAGGGAGGAAGGGAGGAGGACCCACAGUCCAGUGUCGUCGAAAUAUGGUCUAUAUGAGUUGCAUGUGUGGCACCCUUGCUCUAUAUUUUCACGUGGCAGAGAAUAUUUCCAGCGACUUCGAAGUUUGAAGUCGUUUUCCAAUCGUAUAUGGCAGCUGGGAAUGGUGGGUGCAUCUGACUCAUCUUUGAUGGGAUCUGCCGGGAAAGUAGUGUGGAUCCAAGAUUUAUUUAUAUAUAUAUAUAUAUUGAGUUACAAGCUUUGGUCCUGUUGGCUAACUUUCCUGCUAAGUUUAUAGAAAAUAGAUGGCUUUAAAUACGUUUUCUAGUUGUUUUUAUUUCUUUUUGGAUAAUUAAUUUAAAAAAUAUAUAUAAAAUUUACGAAAACAUUUCAAGUUCCUAAACAAACUUUUUUUCUAUAAAACAUUCUUUCAAAAAACCAUGAUGCCGUUUGGUAACGGUUUUUUAAAACAGUUUUGAAAAAUGGUUUUUUAGAAAAUUGUUAUUUGAAUUUUUGUAAAACAAAAAUUUGUUUUGGAAUCUAAAAUAUUUUUAAUCUAUUUUUAAUAUUUUUGAAAAAUAUUUUUUUAUGUCUAAAACUUUAUUUUUAAUCAUUAUACAUGUUUGUAUAAUUAUUUUUUUAAACGGUUCUUAAAAAAUAAAUGAAAACAAUUAAAAAAACUAAAAGAUGUUUUAUAAAAAUAUCAUAUUUUUCAUAUUUUUUGUUUUUGAGAAUAGAAAAUAGAAAAUAGAAAAUAGAAAACAGAUUUUUGGUUAUCAAAGGUAUUUUUCAAUUUUUUUUAUUUUAAAAAAUAAAAAAUUAUCCUAAAAAACAGGUAUCAUAUAGAACCUAUACUUUGUUUAAAAACAAAAUAACGAAGAAGAAAGAAGAGCAACUAUAAAGGUUUAUUUGAUUAAAAAAUUCAUUGAAAAUAAUGAUCUUCCUUCUUUGAAAAAACUGAAAUUAUAACUUCUUUUCAAUAAAAAUAUCUUUUAACAAUUUUUGAAUUUUUAUCCCUCAUUAAACAGUUUUUUUUUUUAUUUAUAGAAAGGGGUAAAAAUGUCAAAACAAGGUUAUAUAUGUAAUUUGCAGUACAUAAAAUUUAUUUAUUUUUCAACAUUUUCGCAUCCCUUAUAAUCAAAUAUUUCGAUGAAAAACUAUUUUUUGAACUUGAAAAUAAGUUUGAUAAUUCUUUGAUAGAAAAUUUAUUUUGAAAAUGCGACAUUUUUUUAGAAUAUAUUUUAAGUUAUAAACAAACUUAAUUGUUUUUGAAAAAAUUUAAAAAGAAGAUGAUUUUUUUUAUCCGACAUUAUAAUUAAAGUGAAGAAAAUAAUAUGAGAAAAAAGAGAGGAAAAUAUUAAGGGAAAAAUGAAGAGGAAAAAUAUGAGGGACAAAAAUAAAAAGAAAUUUUUUGUUUAGUUGAAUCAAGGAAAAACAAUAUUAAAUCAUUUAAAGAAAAUAUUCCUUGGUAUUACUUUCAUAGUUUUUUCUUUGGUAUAAAAAAAAAGAAAAAAAAACCAUUUUCCUUAACUCUUUUUUCAUACAUCCAAAUAUUAGAAAAUGAUUGCUUUUAGUUUUUUUUUUUUUUUUCAUUUCUUAUUAUUUUUCAAAAAUCAAACAUAAUUUUAGAUAAAUGUAAAAAAAAAAAAAGCAAAAUGUAUUAUAAGUUAUUUUAAAAAUCAAAUUUAUCCAUUAAAAUUCAUAUUAAAAAUAAAAUUUCAAAUAUUAAGGGUUUGUUUAAUUUGAUAAUUGUUUUCGAGAAUAGUUUUAUAUUUUUUAGAACAAAAAAAUUGGAAAACAUAUUUGGCAACCAAAAAACCAUUUUAUGUUUUAUGUUCCCAAAAUUAGAAAAUAUGAUAUUUUCAAAAAAUAUCUUUUAGUUAUUUUCAAUUAUUUGUAGUUGUUUUUGGAAAAUUGUUUAAAAAAAAUAAUUAUACAAACAUGUAUAAUAAUUAAAAAUAAAUCUCUAGAUAUAAAAAUUAUUUUUAAAACAUAUUUAAAAUAUUAAAAAUAAGUUAAAAACUUUUCAGGUUUUUAAACAGACUUUUAUUCUAGAAAACAUCAAAGAAUAGUUUUAAAAAAAAUUUCAAAACUGUUUUUAAAAACGGUUACAAAAUAAGGGCAUAAGCUUCUAACAUUAUGAGUACAUAAAGAGAUAGAGAAAACACUUUCCAUAUUUUAAAAGUCUUAUGAAUCUAAGAAAAUGCUAAAAAUAGGAGAAAAAAAAGUAAAGAAAAAAUGUAAAUUCUUUUAUUUAUUUAUUUUAUGGCAAAAAGUAAGAAUUAAAAUUAAAUAUAAUAAAAAUUAUUUAAAAUUUUAUAGAUAUUCAAAUACUAAUUUAUAUAUAUAUAUAUAAGAUAAGGGUAAAAAUAGAAAAAUAAGGCAUGUUUGGUAACUGUUCUGGGAAAUAGUUUUGAAAAAUAAUAUUUUGAAAACUGUUCUUUGAUAUUUUGUAGAAUAAAAGUAUGUUUGAAAACAUAAAAUUUUUUAAUAUUUUAAAAUAUGUUUUAAAAGUAAUUUUUAUAUCUAAUAUUUUUAUUUUUAAUCAUUCUAUAUGUUUGUAUAAUUAUUUUUUAAAAUAGUUCUCAGAAAACAAAUGAAAACAAUAAAAAACAAUCAAAAGAUGUUAUCUAAAAACACUCUUAAAAACAUAAAAUAGAAAAUAAUUUUUGGUUAUAAAACAUAUUUUCAUAGUUUUUUGUUUUGAAGAAUAGAAAACUAUUAUAAAAAAUAGUUAUCAAACAGAUCCAAGAAAUUAACGAUACUUCUUUAUCUUUUGAGUCGUUUUGCCAAAUUAGUCCCUUAAGACCUUUGGUUUUUGCCUAGACCGAUGAAAAAAAUGGGAUCACUUUUUAUGGACUUGUUGAAAAUGAUUCUAAUAUAGUUUAGAACCUAUUAGAAAUAAGAAGACGAUCUAGUGGGAUCCUCAUGAAUAGAAAAAGAUGAUAGUCAAUUUGAUAAUAAUGAUAUUACUUUUUUAGAACUAAGGAAUACCUCAUAUAAUGUUCAAAAAUUCAAAUUUACAUAAUAAAAACUUUAUGCAUAUUCCGAAAUAAUUUUAAAAAAUAGUUUUCAAUUAUUUUCAAGAAUAAAUUUGGAAACUCAAAUAAAAUAAUUUAAAAAACAUUUUUUUCUUGCAUGAUACAAUUUUAAAAGCAUUAUCUUUAUUUUAGUUGUAGUUAACAAUUUAUAAAAUAAUACAACUAAAAUACCUGAACUUUAAAAAAUAAUUCGCUUGGAGAGUAAUUAAUUUUUAAAAAAAAUAUAUAAAAAAGUGUUUUAAUUAGAAAAUUAUUUUCUAUUUCAGAUGGGGGUUUUAUGUACUUUCCUUCCUCUUUCUCUCCCAUUUCCCUACCUUUUUCUCAAACUUGUGGACAUCCAAGCAGAGCGUCUAUAUAAGGAGAUAUGACACAUCCCCUGAGAAUAUGGGGACACGUGAGAAGACAAAGACAAGGGAAGAAAAUGGGGGAGACGCUGGGGAAUUUGGGGUCUGUAAUGGCGACAUUGAUGUUCAUCUGGGCUAUGUUCCGGCAAUACUUCCCUUGCGACCACAUCGAAAAAUACUCCCACAAAUUGAUGAAGUUUUUCUACCCUCACAUCCAAAUCACUUUCGAUGAAUACGGCAGAGGUCAUUUCAUGCGCCAUGAAUUCUACACCGCCAUCGAUACCUACCUCAGCUCCAAUACCGCCGACCAAGCCAACCGCCUCAAAGCCAACACCGCCAAAAACAACCAGUCACUGGUUCUCACCAUUGAUGACGGUGAAGAGGUUGAAGAUGAGUUUGAGGGAGUGAAGCUGUGGUGGACUUCAAGGACGAUCACAGCCGAAACUCGGACCUCCCACUCCUAUGAGCAGCCGGAUGAGAAGAGGUACUACCGGCUGACUUUCCACAAGAAACACCGGGAUUUGAUCACCAAGAAGUACCUCAGUCAAGUUUUGACACAAGGGGAGGCGAUUAAGGUCAGAACCCGGCAGCGGAAGCUUUAUACCAACAGUUGGUCGAUGUGGAGCCAUGUGGUUUUUGAUCACCCUGCAACUUUUCAAACGCUUGCCAUGGAGGCUGAUAAGAAGAGGGAGGUGAUCGAGGACUUGGUUUCUUUCAGCCAGGCUAAGGAUUUCUACGCAAGAAUUGGGAAAGCUUGGAAGCGGGGUUACCUCCUUUAUGGCCCUCCUGGGACGGGAAAAUCUACCAUGAUUGCUGCCAUGGCGAAUCUGUUGCUGUACGACGUCUAUGAUCUUGAACUGACGGCGGUCAGUGACAACACCGUGCUGAGGAAGCUGCUGAUGCAGAUUCCGAGCAAGUCCAUCACUGUGAUUGAGGACAUCGACUGCUCCCUCAACUUGACGGGUCAGAGGAAGAAGAUGAAGGAGAACAAGGCGGCCGAGGAGGAAGAGAAGGGCCCCAUUAAAAAACAAGCGAAGGUAGGAGACUCUGAUGAAGGGAAAACCAGCAAGGUGACUCUCUCCGGGCUGUUGAACUUCAUUGACGGCCUUUGGUCGGCCUCCAAGGGGGAAAGGCUAAUAGUGUUCACGACGAACUACAUGGAGAAGCUCGACCCAGCUCUGAUUCGGCGAGGAAGGAUGGACAAGCACAUCGAAUUAUCAUACUGCAGCUUUGAAUCAUUCAAGGUGCUGGCUAAGAAUUAUCUGGAGCUUGAUUCCCACCACCUGUUCGACACGAUUGAGAGGCUGUUGGGGGAAAGUAAAGUGACCCCAGCUGAUGUUGCUGAGCAUUUGAUGCCUAAGACAAGUGUGGCUGAUGUUGAAACAAGCUUGAAGAGCCUGGUUCAGGCAUUGGAGAUGGCCAAGGAACAAGCAAUGUUGAAGGCCAAGGAAGAAGGCAAAGAGAAGGAGUCAUCUGCUAGGGAAGAAGAUUGACGAUCAUUGGCAAUAGAGACUAUGAUUGUGUUUAUCCUACUGAAUUAAUUCCUGGGAAUUAUGAAAUAUUGGUCAAGUUAAUAGUAUGGUAAUUGAGGUUAAUGGGAAAUGCAUAUGGUGACCAAUUCUGAAGAUCUUUUCUAGGGCUUAAGGGGGCUUNNNNNNNNNNNNNNNNNNNNNNNNNNNNNNNNNNNNNNNNNNNNNNNNNNNNNNNNNNNNNNNNNNNNNNNNNNNNNNNNNNNNNNNNNNNNNNNNNNNNGAAGGAUAAGAGAAAUGAGAGAUGAAGAUAUUGGGAGCAAAGGAUAAGAGAAAUGAAAAGAUGAAAGUUUGUGCCUAAUGAAUAUUUUUACAAUAUGAAGAUGAAUGCUGAUCACUCGUGUUAUGGAAAUGGAAGAUAUUAAUAAUAUAAAAGUUCUUCAAGCACGUUUGGUACUAAUUUUAAAAAACAUUUCUAAUAUUUUUAAUAUUUAAAAAAUAUUAUCAUUCAGGUGUUAAAAAAGUUAUAAACGUUUUUUUAUAAUUAUUUUCAAAGAUACUUUUCAUUUACUAAUAAUAAUAAAAAAGUGUUUUUCAACCGUCACAAUGAUACUUGGUUUGACUAUGCUUUUAGAAAAUAUUUAUAAUAUAAAUAAUAUUGCGGCUAUCAGAAAUAUGAGAGUAAUGAGAGAUGAAGAUAUUGGAAUGAAAGGAUAAGAGAAAUGAAAGGGGGAAAGUUUGUGCCUAAUAUAUUUUUACAACUGGAAGAUGAAUGUUGAUCACUUGUGUCAUGGAAAUGAAAGACAUUAGUAAUAUAAACAUUCUUCAAGCUCGUUUGAGAGUGAUUUUAAAAAACAUUUCUAACAUUUUUAAUAUUUAAAAUUUUUUAUCAUUCAAGUGUUAGAAGGGUUAGAAACGUUUUCUAUCAUUACUGUCAAACCUACUCUUCAUUUAUUAAUAGUAAAAAAAAAAGUGUUUUUCAAUAGUCCCAAUGAUACUUGGUUUAACUGUGCUUGUAGAAAAUAUUUAUAAUAUAACAUUUCUUAAGAAAUCAAACAUUUGAAAAUAUUAAUAUUUUGAAAGUAAGGUAAAUAUCUCUUUUUUUUUAACAUAUUUUUAUAAUAUAAUAAGGCCCAUGCUGUAUUAAAUAGUAAAGAAAUAAAAUUUAAUAAUUUAAACUUUUAAAAAAUGAAUUUUAACCAUAUUUAAUAAAAACUCAUAUUAAAAUAAUUUAUUUAAGUUGUUUCAUUCCAUAGGAAAAAAAAAAAAAAAGGGAAUUUAGCCAAGACUAUGGAUGCAACUUUGGAUGGUUGGUGUGAUCCAUCCAACAUAUGAGUAUGAUUGGACAAUUAUUUUCAAUACUCAAGUUGGGCUUAGGUUAGGUUUUUCUAUAUAUUAAUUUGAGCUCAUUUUGUUUAGAUUUUUUUUUUAAAAAUAUAUUAAGUUAUAUUAUGUCAAUUUUUUUUUCAUGUUUUUAGUAAAGAUAUAUAAAUUUAUUUUUGUUUUUAUUUUUGUUAUUAUCUUGAAAUUUUGUUACAUUUAUAAUCUGACCAAUCCGAACUUAAAUAAAUGAUGUUGGGUUGAAUACUAUGGAUUAGAGGGCAGAUUAGGUUGAGUUCAAUUUAAUUAUUUUUUAAUACGAGUUAGACUCAAGUUAACCAUCAAUCCAAUCAACUUACCCAAGUUGCAACCUUAGCCUAAACUAAUAUGCUUCCAAUAUAUAGUUUGGUAUUUUAUUAUUAUUAUUAUUAUUAUUAUUAUUAUGCAAACAUUUGGGAAAUUUCAAGGAAUAAAAAUAGAGAAUAAAUAAAAAUGAUUUAAGAAAAAAUGUCAAAAUGAAGAAGAAAUAUCAUGACUUACAUUCAUUUUUAUUUCAUAUUAGCUCGUUAGAAGGUAUCUAUAUAUAUAUAUAUAUAUAUAUAUAUAUAUAUAUAUAUAUAUAUAUAUAUAUAUAUAUAUAUAUAUUGAAAAGAAAAAACCUUUGUCAACUUUUCCCAUAAAAGAUUAUAGGAAAAAUUAUAUAUUUAUAACUUUUGUUGAUAGGAAAAGUUAUAAAAAAAACUUUUUUGCAUUUUUCAUUAAAUAUUUAUGGGUGGUGUGGGACCCAACUCCAGUCCAGGCAUAAAUCCAUUUCUUGUCCAAGUAUCAAACAAACAAAAGGAUAUUUGAGUAACGUCCAUAUUCAUUACACAAGUACUAAAUGUAUCGAACUGUUACAUUAGGAGUAAUCAUGAAUAUAGACAUCUGAUUUUAAGUUUAAAAGUUAUUAUUUGUAAGACCAAUUAUUGGCAUUUAAAGCAUUAAAGAGGCACAUAAAAUGUUACAACUUUGUUAGAAUGAAAGACCACUAGACAUUAAUUUUAGGUAUGAAUGAAUCUCCUUAAAAAAGUCAUAGCCCUUUUUUUUUUCUUCCAAAAACUAACUUAAGCUUUGGAAGAAUGUGCAUGGAAAUACCUUUUGGACACACCUUGUUGCAGGUAUGUUCGUCAUUUGCUCGAAGGAAGUUAGUUGAAAAAAAUAUUGUUGACUAUGCACCAACAAUUGGCAUUGUUUGUGGGAAACGAACGAAAAGCCUUAAAUGUAGAAGGCUAACGUACCUCUUGGAACAUUUCCCAUUCGACAUAUAUGGACAACCGAUUCCACACAUAGCAAACCAAAAUGGAGAGAAGGCAAGAAGAGUAUGAGCGGUGCAUGCAAUCGCUGUUUUAGCAUGCAAAGUAGUUGAAAUAGGAAAACAAAGAGUUAUGGGCGCAAAUAGCCUCAAGACAUCAUGUGAGUUAAAGGAGGCAUUGCACACCUAGCCGAACGACCUCGAAGCCAACACGAAGUUGGCUAUGUGCUUACAAGCAUAUAACUAAACUGCUAAAAGCGGAAAAACAAAGUCGAAUCUGGCUAUGUGCUCACACACACCUAACUAAACCACUAAAAGAGGAAGAACAAAAUUGAAUUCGGCUACGUGGUUACAAACACCUAACUAAAUAGCUAAAAAUGGAAGAACAAAGUUGAAUCCGACUACAUGCUUAUAAGCGCCUAACUAAACCGCUAAAAGCAGGAGAAUAAAGCCAAAUCCAACUAUGUGCUCACACACACCUAAUUAAACUACUAAAAGCUGAAGAAUAAAAUUGAAUUCGGCUACAUGGUUACAAACACCUAACUAAACGGCUGAAAAUGAAAAAACAAAGCUAAAUCCAACUACAUGCUCAUAAGCACCUAACCAAAUGGCUAAAAAUGGAAGAAUAAAGUUGGAUUCAUCUAUGUUCUUAUACACACCUAACUAAAAUAAUGAUUCAAUUACUAUGCUCAUUCUUCAAGAUGGAAGGUGGAGUGAGGAAGAUGUUUUUGUUUUAGUGCCUGUAACAUAAUUGCUAUAGUGAUGGUUUUUCAAGAUGGAAGGUGGGUGUGGUUCUACCAUUGCUUUUCUUGUUAUAUUAAUGAUAUUGAAUUGGCCAAAUUUUACUUAGGUUGUCUUGUUUUGAUUGGAAGUAUGCACCUAAUGGAGUCACUGCUUAUUCUGCCCUAACCAAGAGAGUCACUUACAAGGCAAGACGAUAAAAAUAUAACAUCUUUAAUAUAUAGUUGCUAGCUUGUUUCUUUAUCAAUUUUGAUUUCAUUUUAUUCUUGUUUUAUUUAGGUCUUGAUUGUGACGAAAAAUUUAUGCCUAUGUUCUAUUGUUAUGGAGAUGAUCAUUGAGACCACACAAAGGUUCUAUUGUAGACCCUCCAUUUUGUCCCCUUAGUACAUGUUCUAUUAGGAGUUUAGUUCAAUACAUCAUAGCAACUUCUUGGUGGCCCAUUACUACUAAUUCAGUUUGCCUUUUUCAAGCCACCUCAGAGACUUUGGUUGAGGGAUUUAUUUGGCUCUAACCCUUGACAAUCUUGAAUUAGACUUAGAAUUUUCCUUCCUUUUUAAGAUAACUCUUUUAGGUACAUUUUUUAGGACACUUAGUUCGCCCUAGGUCACUUAAACACUUUUAGACUCACUUCUUUUUGUGCAUGACUUGCAUGGUUGCAUGACUUACAUGACUUGUGUGACUUUUUUUUAAUUUUAUUUAUCAUUUUUGUUUCAUUUUAUUUUAUGUUAUUAUAUUAUAAGGUUUCUAGCUCAUAUUUAUUGGAUUUUUGCACGAGGAAACUGGUUGCCAUCUAUUUGGAAGGAGAAUCACUAGAAAUUUCAAGAAAGGAAAGUGGCUGAGAUUUUCAUUUUUUUUAGUGGAAAAAUAAGAGCGACCAAAUUUUCCUUGAGAAGAAAGAGAAAGUGGCAGAUUUUUCACAUGAAAAAAAAGUAGCAGAUUUAUUGAGGAGCUGGAAUUCUUUUCUAUGGAAGGAAAAGGUGGCAGAAUUUUGGAGGGAAAAAGGAAAGUAACAAAUGUUGUUAUAUAGAGAGGCACGUCUUCAAAAGGACCAGGUGAGAUUCCAGGCUGGGAGGAUAGCAAAGGAGAAAGAGGUUGUUCUGGUUUUGGUUUUUAUUAUAGAGAGAAGAGGAUGACGAGAGAGGGACAUAGGAUGAUAGACCAUUAAGAGACAACUGCAAAAAAAAAGGGGGACAAAGGCACCAAUACGGGUAGCAGACAUGAUCAGCACACACUAGGAGAGAACUGGGCAGAAAAGCGAGAAUCAGAGGAGCAUUUUUCGGUAUGGCUGCUCUACGCUCUCUGUUUUCUUGAUCAUCGUAUAAUUCUUCAUAUUUUCUUUCAAUUUAUGGGCAUUGCGUCUUUGCUUUAGGUAUGGAUAUCAGGCUGUAUGUUUGUUUUUAAUUAAGUUCUAGGCUGAUCAUAGAUUUUAAUAUUGCUGAUUUAUUUGUCCUUAUAGCCCUGUUUGUGGGUAAUUUGGUUUGCUCUAAUUUGCUACAUAUCAUAAGUCUUGCUACUGGUGCUUUUCUCCUUUAACUAUAUUUGAUGUCCCACUUGGUUUUCAAGCCCAUUUAAGGAGCAUGAAAUGUGGCUUAUUCUGAUUACCCACCCAUUGUCUUCCUUUCCCCUGUUUUUUUUUUUCUUGGUUUCUUUUUCUAUGCUUCUAUAUCUACGUUUCUUCCUUUUCUUUAUUUUGGUGCUCUCGGCUAUGAAGAUCAUAAUGGGUUUGAGUAUUCCAAGAAAGGUGGAAACUUUAUAAAGGCUGUGUACAGUGGGGAUUGCGUGGAGCUAGAUAGGUGCAGAGGUUGCCACGGUUUCUAGGAGCUCUUUGUGACUUUCUGGAUUGGAUGUUGGUAGAUUUAAACUAUGAAGAUAUCCCUCUGGUAUUUAUGUUGUUUGCAUGAUUGAUGAAAGAAUAUACUCUUUUUUUUGGGUUUUGUGUCAUGAAAAGAGCAUGGGGUCAUCUCCACACUAGAAAGUUUCUCACUGAGUACUUGCAGCAAGGGAUCAGAUCAUGGUUCUUGCUCCUGGCGGGAUCUGGAAUGUUUUGAGUAAUGAAAUGGUUGAAACCGGGUUGAGACUAAAUCUGGCAGUUUAUGGUAAGAUGGUUGAUGUGUUAUGAGAGUUGGCCUUUCAAAUAUUUGAUGCUCCAAGCGGCCUGAGAUAGAAUCUGGGAGACCUGGUUUUUCUUCAGUUUCCACUUCAAACUUGUCUUUAAUGAAGGAUGGAAGCGUGAUAUCACCAAGAAUGGUCCUAAAGCUAUUAGGUAAGGGUCUGUCACUGUUGGUUCACCUGUACUGCAUUGGGGACAAGGGCGUAAUCUCUCUAGAUGGAUGAACUUUCAGUGCUUUGUUACUAUUAGAGAUGACUCAAUUGUUAUUAGGUCACUGGACGAGAAGAAAGGGGCUUGGGUAUCCACUCAGGAGUGAUUCUUCAUUUGGUUCUUCUCUGUCUCAUACUACAACAGAUUCAUAUUUAAAUUACAGUGGAGUCAGAAAAGUUAAAGUGAAUAAAGCCAGGGGCUCUGACAAUGGUAUACUUAAGGAAUGGGGCACUUCUACAAUAGGGAAGGCUACAGUGUUUUUUUUUCAGUUGGUACAGCCUGACAUAAGAGUGAUUACAGCAACAUUUUACUGGUCCUUGUUUAUAAUAAUGGUAAUCAGAAAAUCAUUCCAAUGGGUGCUUACCUUAAUAAGGCAACGUCCAGUUUUGGCUCAAUAAGUUCUAUCUCCAACUAGGAGACUGCCAGUUCUAUAUCAAUGGGUCACACCCAUCACGCAGUGGAUAGGAGUCUGCCGUAUUAACCCCAAGCUUUUUGGCUUUAGUAUUGUUUUUUAGGAAAAGUUUCCUUCAGCAGGCCCCUCAAUCACGGCAUAACAGACAGAGAUGGCAUUUCUAAAGCAAUUUCAAUGUCCUCCCAACAGUCCUUUGAGUUUGGGAAUUCUUGGUAACAGUCAUCAUGCAUGGAGAAUCCUCACCCUUCACAUGAGAAAUUGCUUUAGCUGAUGAAUAAUGCCUUCAUUGUCAUCUACCGAACAAAGAGAACCUCUCAAGGUGAACCUCAAGAAUUGCAAGUUAAGCCAAUGCCCCUUGUUCAAAAAGAAGAUCAAAUUCAUGAGGUCCCUGCUAAAUGAACUUUUUGUUGAUCCUGAGAUUGAAAAAGCUGUGAGAACUGCAGUCCUUUUGUCUGGUUCCCCUCCCGACAGCCCACAUCAAGAAGCUAAAGGUCUCAAUAGUGAAGGAUCUAACCACAAUUUCUCAAAGAAUGUAGACUCAGGUGGUCAUGAAAGUGACAUCCCUUCCUCUGUUGGCUUCUCAACCUUCAGAUAUUUUCGUUUACGGAAAUUGUGUGAUAAUUGGCUAUGGAUUGAUUAUAUAAUUGAAGUUUCACUAAUCCACCCUAAUAAGAAUGUUGAAAAUGUUAAAGAAUUUUUAGACACAAACAUCCAGCAAGCUAUUGAAGGUUCUUCUGGCAUAAAAUAUUCCUGAGGUUGGUUUACUCGGUGGAUUUGUAGAUAUUGGAAUGAACAUAAAAAGAAUGGUGGAUGAGAUAUUGCAGUCUGUUCGUAUAUUGGCUCACGAUCACUGUAAGUGUCAUGUCAUACAGCAUGUUCCAGAAUCUGGGAAAGUCCCAUACGAAAAAGGCCCCUCUAUCUUUCCAGACCCAUGGAUGUGUUGGAAAAAGGGGAUGAAUGAAAUUAAGUAAAUCCAUUGAAUUAAGUAAAUUCAUUCAUUUUUCCAGAAUUCUAAGAGUCUCAAGAAGCCAAAUUCAUUUUGGCUUUCUGAACCUGUUUGUGUUCUUCCCUCCUUGAAGUCUAUAAAUAGUGGUAGACUUUCUUUCAAAAAAAAAAGUACAGAAAAACUUUGGAGUAUUGUCAGAGUGUUGAAUAGUUCCUUUCUUCCGUGUCCGUGAUAGAGUUGAACAAUUUCCAGUUCGCCGGAGUAGCUGCAGAGUGUUGUUGCUGCCAUUCGAAGAUCGUUUUAUCCUGGGAGACAGACGCCUUGCGAUUCUCAAAGCACCUGUGGAGAAGACGAAUCUGUUUUAAGGAGAUUGUGUUUUCCACAAGACUCGGUCUAAUCUUCUUCCUUAAUUCUCUGUUUUUUUUUUCUUCAGUUUUCUUUUAUUUUCUUAUGAACUAACCAGUGUGUGCAGUGUGGUUGUCUAACAUUCUUAAAACAUAUUUUUUUCAAAGGAAAACCAGUGGUUGGUGAAAAGGAAACAAGUUAUCAGGAAGAAGAAGAAGAAGAAGAAAAAAAAAACCAGUGGGAAAAAAAAAACCUGUAAGUUUUUGGAAAAGAAAAAAAAAAAAAAACAAAAGAUAAUUUUUGAAAAAAAAAAAAAUUUGCAAGUUUUUUUGAAAAAAAAAAAAAAAAGGAAAAAAGAAAUUGACACAUUUUCUUGGAUGUUUCAGGAAAAUGACAACUGAAUCCGAUAACGUUGUUGUAACUGAAUUAGCCCCAGUGGCAACCCCUACUGUGGCCCAAGUGCCAGCGAUGCCUACUGUUGUACCAAUCUCUGUCUCACCAGGAGAAAAACCAGAGAAGUUCAGUGGACUAAAUUUUAAAAGGUGGCAACAAAAGAUGUUAUUCUAUUUGACCACGUUGAAUCUUGCAAGAUUCUUGACUGAGGAUGCUCCUAAGCUCAAAGAAGACGAGCACGAUAUCCAAGUCAUCAGUGCUAUAGAUGCUUGGAAACAUUCUGACUUCUUGUGUAGAAAUUAUGUCAUGAAUGGUUUAGCUGAUUCGUUGUACAAUGUUUAUUCUGACAAGAAAACAGCUAAGGAGCUAUGGGAAUCUCUAGAUCGGAAAUAUAAAACUGAGGAUGUCGGGGCUAAGAAAUUUGUUGUGGGUCGCUUCCUCGACUAUAAGAUGGUAGAUUCCAAGACUGUGGUAAGUCAAGUCCAAGAACUUCAAGUAAUCUUGCAUGAGAUACAUGCUGAGGGAAUGAUGUUGAGUGAAACUUUCCAAGUAGCAGCUAUUAUUAAGAAACUACCCCCUGCUUGGAAAGAUUUUAAGAAUUACCUCAAGCACAAAAGAAAGGAAAUGAGCAUCGAGGAUCUAAUUAUUAGACUUCGCAUUGAAGAAGAUAAUAGAAGAUCUGAAAAGAAAAGGGCGCACACUCUAAAUGAGGCUAAGGCUAACUUUGUGGAACAUGGUCAAAGUUCCAAGGCAAAGACGAACAACAACAAAGGGAAAGGAUCUAAGUUGGGACCUAAAGGAGGGAUCUCAAAGAAGCCGAAAUUUCAAGGGAAAUGCUUCAAUUGUGGUAAGCAAGGUCACAAGUCUGUUGAUUGUAGACUGCCUAAAAAGAAUAAACCUAAGGAAGCUAAUGUGAUUGACGACAUCACUAAAAAUGUUUCUGACAUUGACCUCACAGCAGUAGUCUCUGAGGUGAACUUGGUGGGUUCUAACCCAAAGGAAUGAUGGAUUGAUACUGGUGCUACUUGCCAUGUAUGCUCUGAUAAGAAAAUGUUCUCCACUUUUGAACCAAUUGAGAAUGGGGAAAAAGUGUUCAUGGGGAACUCUGCCACCUCUGAGAUCAAUGGUCAAGGUAAAGUAAUCUUGAAGAUUACUUCUGGGAAAGAGUUGACUCUGACCAAUGUUUUAUAUGUACCGGAAAUUUGCAAGAACUUGGUGUCUGGUUCAUUGCUGAAUAAUCAUGGAUUUCGGUUGGUCUUUGAGUCAAACAAAUUUGUUUUGUCCAAGAGUGGAAUGUAUGUUGGGAAAGGGUAUAUGAGUGAUGGAAUGUGGAAACUCAAUGUAAUGACUAUUAUUAAGUCAAAUAUGAAUAAAGCUAGUACUUCUACUUACAUGCUUGAGUCUUCUAAUCUAUGGCAUGGUAGAUUAGGACAUGUUAAUUAUGAUACAUUACGUAGAUUAAUUAACUUAAAUCAUAUACCAACAUUCCAAAUUAAUUCCAACCAUAAAUGUGAAACUUGUGUUGAGGCAAAACUAACAAGGUCAUCUUUUCAAAGUGUUGAAAGAAACACUGAACCCCUUGAUUUGAUCCAUAGUGAUAUCUGUGAUUUGAAAUUUGUACAAACAAGAGGUGGUAAUAAAUAUUUUAUUACUUUUGUUGACGAUAGCACCAAAUACUGUUAUGUGUAUUUACUAAAAAGCAAGGAUGAAGCUAUAGAGAAAUUUGUUCUCUAUAAAAACGAAGUUGAGAAUCAACUCAACAAGAAAAUUAAGGUACUAAGAAGUGAUCGAGGUGGUGAGUAUGAAUCGCCAUUUGUUGACAUUUGUGCUCAACAUGGGAUUAUACACGAAACAACAGCACCUUAUUCGCCUCAAUCCAAUGGAGUGGCUGAGCGAAAGAAUCGUACCUUAAAGGAAAUGAUGAAUGCAAUGUUAAUAAGUUCUAGUUUGCCACAAAACAUGUGGGGAGAAGCCAUUUUAACUGCUAAUUACCUUUUGAAUAAGGUACCCAAAAAGAAAGCAGAAAAGACUCCAUAUGAGUUAUGGAAAGGAAGAAAGCCAUCCUACACAUACUUACGAAUGUGGGGAUGUCUUGCUAAAGUGGCAGUUCUUCCACCUAAAAAGGUGAAAAUAGGACCUAAGACUAUUGAUUGCAUUUUCAUUGGCUAUGCACAUAAUAGUAAUGCUUAUCGGUUUCUUGUUUAUGAAUCAAAUAUCCUAGAUAUUCAUAAGAACACGAUAAUGGAAUCAAGGAAUGCAUCAUUCUUUGAAGAUGUAUUUCCAUAUAAAUCUAAAGAGGAGUCAAGUUAAUCAAAACAAAUGCUUGAGACUAUUAAUGAAAAUAGUCAACAUCAAAAUAAAGAAGUUGAGGUAGAACCUAGACAUAGCAAAAGGGCAAGGACAGAGAAAUCUUUUGGUCUAGAUUUUCUUACUUUUAUUCUUGAAGGCGAACCUCAAACUUUUAAAGAGGCAGUGAACUCUACAGAAGGUCUUAUGUGGAAAAAGGCCAUUAAGAGUGAAAUUGAUUCCAUAUUGCAAAACCAUACUUGGGAACUAGUGGAUCUUCCACCAGGUUGUAAACCUUUAAGUUCCAAGUGGAUUUUCAAGAGAAAGAUGAAAGUAGAUGGAUCAAUUGACAAGUAUAAAGCAAGACUUGUAAUCAAAGGCUACAGACAAACUGAAGGCCUAGAUUAUUUUGACACAUAUUCUCCUGUGACGAGAAUAAAUUCCAUAAGGAUGGUACUUGCAAUUGCUGCAUUGAGAAAUCUUGAAAUACAUCAAAUGGAUGUAAAAACAGCCUUUCUAAAUGGAGAUUUAGAUGAAGAAAUCUAUAUGGAGCAACUUGAGGGUUUUUCAACUCCAGGACAAGAAAAGAAAGUUUGUAAACUGGUGAAAUCUUUGUAUGGCUUAAAACAAGCACCGAAACAAUGGCAUGAAAAAUUUGACAAUGUUAUGCUGUCACAUGGCUUCAAAAUCAAUGAAUGUGACAAGUGUGUUUAUGUCAAGGAUACAGAACAUGGAUAUGUCAUUGUAUGUUUGUAUGUAGAUGACAUGCUUAUUGUUGGGUAGUGAUGNNNNNNNNNNNNNNNNNNNNNNNNNNNNNNNNNNNNNNNNNNNNNNNNNNNNNNNNNNNNNNNNNNNNNNNNNNNNNNNNNNNNNNNNNNNNNNNNNNNNUAGGGCACAAUUCUUAUUAAACUCUUACAGAACCAGGCGUAUGUUCAUGGCCAAAAUGAACAUAAAAGUGAGAACUGAAAUAUGUUAGGAAGAUUCCUGUGUGAGAUAUGUCAUCAUCUACAUAAAUGGCAGAACAGUUCAAGGACAUCGUGUCUACUGUUUAGCUAGUAGAGUAAACAUAUUUCUACAAGGGAAGGUUCAAAGGGUAACACCUACCUCUCCUAUGCAGGUUUCAACCGUUGUACUCUAUCACAAAGUUCAUCGUGUCUUAAUUUCUUUCAUGUGGGGAAUUGUUGGAAAAAGGGGAUGAAUGAAAUUAAGUAAAUCCAUUGAAUUAAGUAAAUUCAUUCAUUUUUCCAGAAUUCUAAGAGUCUCAAGAAGCCAAAUUCAUUUUGGCUUUCUGAACCUGUCUGUGUUCUUCCUUCCUUGAAGUCUAUAAAUAGUGGUCACUACUACAAAAAUAAUAUAUGAUGUCACUAUUUAUGGUGUCGCAUUUAAAAUAAUGACAUCAUUGAACUUAAAAUUUAUAAAGGUGACACAUCAUAUAAAAAAUCUUCAAUUAAGAUAGUUAGAUGAUGCUAAUUUCAGAUUUACGGUGUCAUUUUUUGGAAGUGACACCAUAUGAAAUAAAAAGUUUUAAAUUUUAUAACUUAAUGGGCCCUUUUUAAAAAUAGUGAGUAGGAACAAUUUAUGAAAAGUCCAUUGUUUCCAUAUAUACAUUAACUAAUAUAAAAGAUCUUAUUGCUUAACCCUAACCAUCGUUUUCUUCUCCUUCUUCUCACACCCAUGGUCGGCACACCCAUAAUUGAUAUUCUUUGCUUCGUAAAAUCUCGAGUAAGUCAAAAUCUCUUAUCUACCAUCUUCAUUUUUUUUAUUAAUGCAAAAAACUUUGUUAGUAUAAUUGUUUUAUAUCUCUUGAUUUAGUAUAUCUAUGAUGUGGGUUUUGUAAAUGGUGUUUUUUAUCGAGUUCCAGGGAAGUAAAAACUAGGUUUAACAUUCUAACAUAUUUUUUGUUUCAUUGCUAAUAAGCCCCAAAACAAAUGAAAACAAGAAAAAUGAAUUAUUUUUUAAAAUUUUGUCUAAUUGAGAAUGAGAGAUACACUAAUUUGUAGUAAUUUUUCACAUGAAAUAGUAUUUUAUUGAAGACUUGACUAUAUUUGAUACUUUUUUCCACCGUGCUAGGAGCUUUUUGGUGAAGUCUAACAAUAGAGAUUGACAUCUACUACAAGAUGAUACUCAAUUAAUCCAAAAGCACUUAAGUUAUUUAGGGUUUUCUUCGGUUAACCUAAGAAAACAUUCCCACUUUCUUUGUAUUGAGUCACCUAAAUAGAAUAAAAUAUUGGGUAUCAGAGUCGUAAAGGGUAUUAUAAAUAUGACUUUUUUUUUUUAGAGUCACCUACAUGGAAUGAAUUAUUGGUAGGUGAACAAAAUAUUGGGGUGAUUGUAAUAGUUGAAUUAGUAAAUGGAAGAUAAGUGUAUGUUGCUUUGUUUAUUCUAUAAAAACAAUAAUUUUAGUAGUUGAAAUUUACAUGCUUUGUUGUUUUAUAAAAACAAUAAUUUUAGUAUUUGAAAUUUUAAAAUGUGAAUGAAAUGCCUGAAAAUAUGUUUUCAAAAAUAGGAUAGUAAUAAAUGGAAAAUAACUCAUUUCCUAAAAAUAUUUUGAUAAAUUAAAAUAAUAUGUGGUUAAAAUAUAUUUUUGUGAAAGUAUUUAAAAAUGAAUCAAAAUAUUAAUAAUUGUUAUUUUGUUUGAAAAUAAUUUAGGAAUAUAAAAUAAUAUUGGGGAUAAUUUUUGAGUUUAAAUUGGGUUAUAAAUGGUUAAUUUUUUUAGGACUUUCCUUUUUGAAAAUAAUCCAAUGAUAAUUUUUUUUAAAUAAGAAUGUUGAAAAUAAUUUUAAAAAUAAAAUUUUGUUGGUAAUGAUUUUUCUAAAAGUAUUUUAGGCAUAAAUGGAAAUUUCUUGUAUGAAAAUAAGAGAAUUUAUAUACAUAAAAAUAGACUUCUUUGAUAUUUAAUAAACAAGUGAAUUUUUCUCUAAAAAAAGAAUAAAAUAAGAAUUUCUCUAUAUAAUAAAAUAAUUUAUAUAUGAGAUAGUUUUCAAUAAGAAAGUUUUGAAAAUAAAUUUGGGACAAAAUAUUUUUUAGUAAGUUUUGUUUAGAUAAUUCAAGAAUAAAGUGGUUUAUUAACUUUUCUUAAAAAAUAACAUUCUUCUUUCUUUUUUGAAUUGAUCAAUUUUUUUAGAAAUAAAAUUGUUAGAUUCUAUUUUUUGUAAAUGUUUAAGAAAUUCUAAAAAAUUCUUUAAAAAUGAAAUGACCUUUCUACCACAUUCCUUGUAAUAAAUAAUUGUUUUUUUUUAUACAUAUUGUAAAGUAAAAAAAAAGUCUUUGUUUAGUUAACCUAAGAAGACAUUCCUACUUUUCUUUGCGUUGAGAGUCACCUAAAUGGAAUAAAAUAUUCAAUAUCCUAGGAGAGUAAAAAGUAUUGUAGAAAUGAUUUUGUUGAGAGAGUUAUCUAAAUGGAAUGAGAUAUUGGUAGGUGAAUAAAAUAUUAUGGUGAUUGUAAUAGUUGACUUAGUGAGUGGAGGAGAAGUGUAUGCUUCUUUGUUUAUUCUAUAAAAACAAUAAUUUUAGUAGUUGAAAACGUGUAUGAAAUGACUGAAAAUAUUUUUUGAAAAAUAAGAAAAUAAUAAAUGGAUAAUAGCUCAUUUCCUAAAAAUCUUUUGAUAAAUUAAAAUAACUUGUAGUUAAAAUAUAUUCUUAUGAAAGUAUUUAAAAAUGAACCAAUAUAUUAAUAAUUGUUAUUUUGUUUAAAAAUAAUUUAAUAGUAAAAAAAUAAUACUAAGUUUAAAUAUGACUACUUUGUUAUGAGAUUCAUUAAAGAAAUAAUUGUUGAUUUUACAGUUAUUGCAUCAAAGGUUUUACUCGUUUAAUGAAUUGUACAUAAUUUCAUACUUUCAAUUAUUGUGAUAUUAAUGUUAUUCUCGAUCAUUUGAUUUCAGUUUGAUGACAAAUAAAACAUAUUCUCAAGUAGAAUUUGAUGAAAUUAGAGAUUACUUUUGUGUUAUAACUAAUCAUGAAUCAUAUUGAUGUAUUGUGAUCAUUCAUGGUAAGUCCCUUAGUUGUUAUAUGAAUGAAUUUUCCAUUGAUAUUGUAUAACAUUACUUAUUCUUUACGAACUAUUUUUAUACCAAAUGAGAAAAAGGAAAAAGAAAAAGAAAACAUUAGUACUUAGAUUUGUUUAUUGUUUAUAGCAUCACAUUUUUAUUUUCAAUAAGAACUCUAAAACUCAUUAAACUAUGAAAUGCAGGUAUACACUCUUGGGAGGACAAUAUGAAGAAUAAAAAGAAAGGAGAAAGAGGCAACAAGAUUUAGGUUUUUAGAUAUGACUCUUAUGUCAUACAUUAUAGGACAUAAAUGUUACUUUAUUUGGAAUUGAGAAUUUUGGGUUUUUGAAUGCAACUCUUGUGUCAUUUUAUGGUUAGCCGGUUUUAUGCAUAUGAAAUGCAAGUAUACAUGAAUGUUGGGAAGCUUAACAUUUCUAAAUCAUGUUUUAAUGUGUAUUCACUUUUCUUUUUUAGUUUUGGUGGGUUUGAUGUAUUUGAUGUACUAUCAUUUUGUGAACAUUUGAUAUACAAAUAUUAUUGGAUGAUGUAAUAUGUUACAAAUUAAUUCAUAAGCAUUAUGAAAAUAUAAGUUAAAUGUAAUAUGAUUAUUAUAUUUAUGGACAAUUUACACAGGUUAGUCUUAUUUAUUAAUAAGCAUUACAAAAAUCUACAAACUAAUCAACAAAAAACAACCAUAUCUUCCAUAAUCAUUUACAAUGAUGUGACACCAUAAAUUAAAGGUGAUACAUUUAACGUGACACCAUAACUUAAAGAUGAUGCAUUUAAUAUGACACCUUAUAUAUCUCAUACAACUCUAUAUAAAAUUAAGCAUCACUAAAAAUAUAUGGUGUCUCUUCUGAAUGUGUCACCAUUUAUCUGCUUUGGUGUCGCUUUCAAAUACGUCACCAAUUGAUACCCUCUAUGGUGUCAGUGGAUAAAGUGACGCUAUGUUGUAAUGACACCCUAUGUUUAUAGUGACUUAUUAUAAAUGUCACCAUAUAUCUUUUUCCUUGUAGUGGGUAGACUUUCUUUCAAAAAAAAAGUACAGAAAAACUUUGGAGUAUUGUCAGAGUGUUGAAGAGUUCCUUCCUUCCGUGUCCGUGAUAGAGUUGAACAAUUUCCAGUUCGCCGGAGUGGCUGCAGAGUGUUGUUGCUGCCAUUCGAAGAUCGUUUUAUCCUGGGAGACAAACGCCUUGCGAUUCUCAAAGCACCUGUGGAGAAGGCGAAUCUGUUUUAAGGAGAUUGUGUUUUCCACAAGACUCGGUCUAAUCUUCUUCCUUAAUUCUUUGUUUUUUUUUUUUUUUUCAGUUUUCUUUUAUUUUCUUAUGAACUAACCAGUGUGUGCAGUGUGGUUGUCUAACAGGAUACUGAUCUAACAUCUCGCAGCAGAAUUCCUUCGACAUUUGCUGAAGUAGAAUGAAUUUCCUAUUUUGAUAAAGUCGAGUAUCUUUCCCGGCAUCUUGUUGACAAGGGUUUCGCUAAUUUGGGACUCAUAUACCGUAUUAACUAUGAACAAGACCCUCAUCAUGUGGAGGAAAUCUAAAGCACUUUCUUGUGGUCAUAAUAAGCUCGCGGGCUGGUUCUUUGAUAAGGAGCUAGCGCAACUUUCUGACUGUUCUGUAUAUCGGUUUCAUUGCUGCUCACACAUACUCGAAAUGCCAUAAUCAGCUCAUGCAUUGUUUGAUUCCGAUGACUCGCAGCAAGAUGUGUUGGGGCCUUCUUCAUCCAACUUUAAAUUGAAUCUCGAGCUGCUCUUCUUCACUACCAGCAGAGUUUCGAGACUUCCGAAUCACCUACCGUCAUUGUCCAGAAUUAGGUGGAUCAAGGGUUUAUUAUGUUUUUGAUGAGAAUGAGCAGUUCAGGGAAGACAAAUUUUGUGAAGUUCAGGACUGCAUCAUUUUGAGGGGAGUUGCAAUACUCUCACUUUCCCGAGAAUGUAUGCGACCAUUUUCUUCCUGAGCUGAUGAACUUUUUUUCGAUAUAUGGGGCGAUUAAUAGGACUUUGUCCAAAGACAACCUUAUCCUUGUGGAAAAAGACUUUCUUUUUUGAAAUCCAUAUUCAUCUUCAAGAACAGCACUCAGGGAUGAGCAACGAGAAGCUUAAAUGUUCAGGAAAAUGGCCCUGACAAGUCAGAUAUGGAGAUUCCAGAAGUGAAGAGAAUUCAUAAGGAUGCAGCAGGCUGAAAAUAUUGAAGAGGCAGAAAAGGUAUCCAUCAUUCUUCGAAAAGGCAAUAGAAUUUUGCUUCAGCAAAAGAAAUUCAAGAGCUGGGAAAUCAAACUACAGCUAAUAUUGUGAAACAUAUUGGUCUUGGAGCAAUAGGGUUCGGAACAAGAAAGGGGACUUUAUACUUGCAGAAGUUGAAAUUGAUCAAGCUGUCCUCUGUCAUCAAGAGAAUCAUCAGUUUGCUCUUGAUGAAUAAAUUGGAAUCAUAGACAGGUUUUGUUCUUUUGUUCGGCAAAGAGAUCAAGUGCUUCAGAAUUUUGAAACUGUUGUUACAAUAUGUUAUUAUGGAGCUGUUCUCAUUCUUUUAAGAGAGCUUUUACAGAAGAGGAUUCAUUUGAAGACCAGUACAAAGACCCAGUCAUCAUCCCAUGUCUCUAGUGAUGUGUCGGACAGUUGCAGCCAAGACCAUCUUUCAGAUGCGGCAGCUCCAUAUUGAGAAUAGACAGUAGGGUCUAGUUGCGGGGGUCACAUUUCCGUAGAUGCAUCCCGCAAUCAGUACAACUUUUGAGGUGCAUAGGUGUCUACGCUGUUGACAUGAAAGACAUGCGUACCCAACCCAAGGAUAAAACAAGUGGAAAGAUAAUCCACAAACAGGUUGGUCUGCUUAUAUUAUGUGGAGGCAAGAAUUAUCAUCCCAAGAAGAGACCCAAGAUUCCAUUAAUGCUAUGAAGGCUUAAAAAAACCUGUUAUUGAUGGCUUAUGCGUUGAGGAGAUGAAAAAAAUGGGAAAGAGAAGACUGGCUGUUUCCAUUUCGAUGAGACUUUCCAAAACUAGUUGUUAUGGUAUAAAGCUGAAUUCGAUAAGCUAAGUUCAUAAGUUUGAAUCCAAAUGCAGCGGAAUAGGUGGCAUCCGCCCUUGAGACGUAAAUGCGUUAACAAGGUUCACUCCUUUUGGGACGUUUGAUUCAAUCCGUCUUCGUCCUUGCCUCAUGUUUGAAUGCUGAGAAAUGUGAUUUUUGUGACCUCAUUGCAACUAAUGCUUCUUCUUGAAUCAGACAAGGGAAACUGAAGAAUAAAUUAAUCCCCUGCACCCAGUGAUUUUUGCUUAUGGAUGUGAGAACAAUGAACUUCAUAAUUCUAAUUCUAGGCCUGGUAAAGCUGACUCCAGUUCUUCUAAGGUCAAAGAAGAAAAACUGAAGAGUGAGAGCCUGGUGCAAAACAAGGUUGAUUUCGAAUAGGGGAACUACGGAAAGACGAGGAAGCUCCCAAAGAAUUGGUACUCCUACUUCAUAAGACGAAUAAGAUACAAACAGAAGAUGCUGCCCCAAGCUCUGUUUCGGCACAUACUGAAGGUACUGGACCACAUGUUGCACUUCCAAAGCUCUCAACAAAGCCACUCCUGUGAAUCUUGCUUAGCAUGCCUAUGGGAAACCUUGGUGAAUCAUCGCGUUGUGCCAGCAAUCAGAACGCGAAUUUCCAAAAUGCCCAAAGAGAGAAAGAUAUGGAUUUAAUGAAGCACGAAAUUUGGUUUCUAUGUGCCCUUUUUUUUUUUUUUCUUUUUUUGUUCUUUUGGGAAUGAGUUGCAUCCAAAGAAGCUAACAAGUCAUCAGUUUUGAUGUGAGAAGGCUAGACAAAACAGCACAAAAUGAGGUCGGAACCGAUGCAUUCUUGCAGUUAGAGAAAAUGCUGAUGAAAUAGAAUUUCCAGAUUGCAGAAUGCCUUUCAAAGUUCGGGAUUCUACAGUAGCAGAAGUCUUUGGGCAGUCUUCUUAACCCUUUCAUCAACAAAAUUGCAGCAACAAUUUCCUCAGCCAGAGUAAAACUUGUCAGACUAAAAUGCUUGGAUGGAGACUUGAAAUUUUUUACUUGGGUACGAAAGAGGGCAGAAUGCAAUUAAGGAUCCAGUACAUUCACAGUGCCCACUUCAGACCUCACUUCAACAUAGCCAUCUUGGUGCACACCCUCCUCUCUAAUUUUGUUUCUUUGAUUGAGAAUUUAUAGUUUUGAAUUGAUUUUUUUAAAUCCAGUUUCAACUAAUAAUCCUCAAUUUUUAAACCCCAUCCUUAGACUUGUUAGGCAUUAAAAUCCUUAUUUUUAAUAAACCUUGUGUUGCCAUUUUCCUUUUGGUACACAUUUUUCACGGUUUUCAACUAAUUUUCUCAAUCUUUUUUUUUUUUCUAAUGAGCAUAAACAAACAUCAUGGUUCCAAAUAAUAGAAUCCAUAGAAUCAACUCAUACAAAAUUAAUUGGGCCUUGGUGGAAGCCUGACAUCCAUGAUAUCUUCUUUGAUAUUGACUCAAAUGAGGAGAUUGUUCGAUAUUUGAUUGAUUUUGAUUAUUUUUUGUGAUACAUGAGAUUGUUUUGCACUUGUUAUUGAGCUAACCCUAUUUCUAUAGAAUUGUUAAUGCUUGCUACACAGGUGCCCUCUCCAUCACCUAUUUUCAGAAUUCUAUGAACAUAUAUGUUAUUAUGAGUUAUGUCCAUGUUUGAUAUUAUCUUUGGAUGCCUUGAUAUUGAUUUGAUUUGCUAUGAUAAAAAGCAUGACGUGUGUCAUAUUUUUUAACUAACUUUGAUGUUUUGUGAUAGCGCUUGAUAAGCAGUUUAGGUACACAUCCUAACUCUUAUUUAUAUUUGUGAUUGACUUUCUUAUUUGGCAUGCUAAUUUUGAAAUCACCUUAGUCUACCUAGGUACCUUUAAUUAAUAGAUUAAUCGUCACAUUUCCUUUAACUUAGCUAGUAGAGACCUUUUUAGGGCUAAGAGGGGUGUUACCUCUUUGAGGUACCUUCCCAAUAGGUAACCUAAUCCCCAAAUCUAGACUCGGGCUUUUCAAAGACAUGUUUUGCAAAACUUUGGAGUCACUUUUCUUAGGGUUUUCUUUCUUGUUUUAUUUUCUUUUUAAAAUAAAAAUAAAAUAAGCGGUGACUCCAACUUUUUCAAAAUUAAUUUUUCACCAUUUAAAAAGCAAGUCUCGCUAAUGAGUGGGGACGCAUGUGAAAAAUGUGGGUCCACACCUAUUCUCCAUUGGGAUUAUCAUCCUGGAAUCAAUAAUUUUGUUGUACUUCUUGUUGGUAGAAUCCUGAUUGUCAUGUAAAUAGUUCUUCUGAUAGUUAUGAUCAUUGGUUCUCAUUGUUUAUCUCAAUAGGAGUAAGUUGUUUAUUUGAAAAGAGAAAGCAUCAAACUCUUGAUUAUGAGGUUUUAUACUAUGAGACUCCCUAAAAAAUUAUUGUAAUUUAAAUAAUCUAACUUUGAGCUCAUUAAAUGUCUUCAUUGAUUAGAAAUUUUUCUUCACUUUCCUUUAUCAAGCUUCUUCAAGUUUGUAUUUUUAGUUUUUAUAUUUAUUGAGCGGUGAAUUAGUCAUUAUAAUGUUAGGUUAUGUAUCUUUUUUAGGAUUUAUUUGACAAAGAAUUUCUUUUUACCUCCGGUUAAAAGCAAAGUUAGUCUUAGGCUAUCUCAAAUAUUAUUUUAAUUUACUUUUUUAGGUCAUGUUUGGUUGGUUAGAUAUAAUAGUAGAUAGGAAAAAAGAUGAAAUAGUGUAUCAUAUCUCAUGCUUGGUUGAUGAUGGAUCGCAUAUGGGAUAGGAUAAAUGGUAGAUUAAUAUAUUUCCCAUCCUUUUUUCCUAUAUCUCCUAGGAUAUGAUAAUGAAGACUACAAAAAAAGUGAUAGUACUAUAAGUAUAAUGAGCUUAGCAUGAAAGACAUUUUGUCAACUGAAUUAUUUUAGGCAAAUAACUUUUCAACAUACUCAAUGACAUAUGAAUUUUAUUUUUUCACAAAAUCAAAAGACACUUAUGUUAUAAAUAUAUGUGAUGCAACAUUUCAAUGUAUAUAUGAUUAACCUUCUUAUAUUCAUGUAGUAGAUAACUAUAAACUAAAAUUUGACUUAAGCUAUAUUUGGUUGGUUAGAUGAGAUAUGUUUAUCUUAAAAUAUCACUUUCAUGGGAUAUGACAUUAUUAUAUUAACCAAAUCACGCACACACAUAAGCAUAUAAUAAAGAAAAACACAAUAUUUUUAACAUGGUUUGGCGAUUAAUGUGAUCCUUAUGUCCAUAGAGUGCAUCAACAUUCAAUAAUCCAUUAAUCAAAAGAAAUGAAGGAUUAUAAUGGUGAAACUCUCGAAAAAAAACUCCUCUCAAUUGCGAUCACACUCUAAAAAAACCCCUAAAACAUAAAAGGGUUAAAAAUAUAAUAAAGCACACACAUCAUAUAUCAUAUAAAUAAAAUAAAAUAAAAACUUCUCCAUGGGGCACUAUCCCCUUCAGCCCUUAUGAGUUGACCAAGCAACUUGAUCCCCAGGAGCUGAUUAGGAAGCUCAACCCCUAGUAUGCCAAGUUGUUAGAAAAAUUAGGCUAAUCCAACCUAUGGUAAUCACCCUAGAGGGGGGGUGAAUAGGGUGAUGGUCUCUUUUUACAGAUUUAAACUAUGAGAAUGUAAGAGACAAUUAUAUGCAAGUAUAUAAUAAACAAUAUAAAGAUAAUUGUAUAUAAAUUAAAAGAAUAAGGAAGAGAGAAUGCAAACACAAGAUUUUAUAGUGGUUCGACACAACCCGAUCUACAUCCACUUUCCUCUAGCUUUAAUCCCAAGCUUGAGGUUCCAUUAGUUCAAGGCUUCCAAACCAAGCCUUCAAGCAACACAAUUGGAUUAUGGUUCCAAUUCACUCUCUUGGACUUUUGGCUCCAAGCACCCUUUACACUUCUCAAGAGAUAUCCCACACUUGAGAAACUUCCUCUCAAAUGUUUACAAAUAAAUGAUCUCACAAAAUCCUAGUACAAAAACUUUAAGCUCAAAUGAUACAAGAAAACUAGGAUUAAAUGGUACACUAAAGAUAUACAAGUUUUAGAACAAUGGUGCACUCAAAAACAUUCUUCCAAUGCUUAAAUAUAUUCAAGAAAGGUUUGGGAAUGUUAAGCUUAUAAAACAAUGAAGAUUGGAGCCUUUUUAUAGAAGAAAAAAAACCAAACUAGCCGUUGGAGGUUCGACCGGUUGACUAGCCGUUAGCAUUUAAUGCUUGGCAGGUGACAAUUGGAACUCGACCGGACCUCAACCGGACCUUGAAUGGACCUCAACCAGUUGAGGUUCAACCUUGACUGGUUGAACAAUCAUUCUGGAAGAAAGAGAAAUUUUUUUUGCACCCUCGACUGGUUGAGUUGGGGGUCAACCCGGACCUCGACCGGUUAAGCUAGGGGUAAACCUGAACCUUGACCAGUUAAGCUGGCGGUCGAUCGAUUCCUUAUUCGGCUCAAUCGGUUGAGUAGUUUUUGGCUCAACAACUAACUUUUUCAACUUAAAACCUUUUAAGACAAAUUUGAAAAACAUUUAACACAAGGUUUUAGUUGAAAACAUGAAAUCAUCCAAUUUUUAAAAUAUUUAAAAUAAAAUAACCCUUGGAUAAUUUUGGUGCAUAAGUAAAGAAUGUAAUACAUGAAAAUUAUAGUGCACCAACAACCUUACAAAGAGAUCUUAUGAAGCUUGGGUCUUGAAAAACACUUCUCUUUGAGGUGGUCUUCUUUUUCAUGAUUUCUUCUUGACUUGAUUUGUCUUUGUGAUUUCCACUUUGGAAAUCGUCUUGCCUAAUCACACUUGAAAUAUAAUCAUUACUAAACCUUGUUUUGUUAUCAUCAAAAUCAAGAUUAACUAAACCUUGAUUUCACACAAGUGAAACACAACAAAACUAAUUCAGCCUUUAUAAUCCAUGCUUUAAACAUUAUAUUCGUUGAAAUAUAUCAUGUCAUACUUAUGUAUGGUUUAUAAAAAGAAUAGAUAAUGAAAUGGAACAUAUUACAUUUCAACAUUCGUAUUGUUUAGAAUAAAAAAUUUCUUAGUACUAUUAACUAAUGCCACCUCAAUAGCUCACAUAUUUAGACUAUUGACAAUAUCAAAUCCUUGAAUUCUCAUUUUCUCUUUCUUUUUUCUUUUUUUUUUUAACUUAUUUUUCUUUACAACAUCUCAUGAAAUCACAUAAAAAGGAAUCGGGAAGCCUUGAUUGAUGAGUGUUUUGCUUGCUAAACAAAACAACCUUCAUGGCUAGCAAUCAACAUAUGGAAAAAUACCUUAGGUUGAUAUCAUCAUGCAGCUUUGAACUCUUUUUGGUUAGUUCCCAUAAAUUUUUGGUAGGUAAGGAUAAAAGCAUAUUCAUGUUGACUAUAGAGCUUAUCAACUCAGGAAGCAGUCGAGGUCCAACUAGCUUCUUUCAAGCGAAUGACGAGCAUACCUGCAACAAGAUGUGUCCAGAUAGUUGUUUAUAGUUGAAAUUAAAGUUAGGUGGUCUUUUAUUCUGGCAAAGUUGUAACGUUUUAUGUGUCUCUUUAAUACUUUAAAUGUCAACAAUUGGCCUUGCAAAUAACAACUUUUGGGCUCAAAGUCAAAUGCUUAUACUCAUGAUUACUCUUAACAUAACGGUUCAGUACAUUUAUAACUUGCAUAAUGCAUAUGGACACUACCCGAAUAUCCUUUUGUUCGUCUGAUAUUUGGACGAGAAAUGGAUUUAUGCCUAGAUGAAUGCGGGGUCCCACAAUGACCUCCAAUUUUCUCAGUCAGAUUUGUUUAGUCACUAAAUUGGCUACUAGAGAAAAUUUAAUUUCGACUUGCUUGUUGAAAAAGUUUUCAAAUUUCAUUUUUUGGUGCCAAAGGGACAUUUGUCCAAUGCACAGGGCUCGAGACAACGCAUGAAAAAACACUGGAUUACAUAUGAUAUCUCUACUAUUCCUUUGGAUGGUGAGGAGAAGUUGGAUGAGGAAGUUCCCCUUUGAGACAGGUCGGGUGUUCCAGACAAAAGUGGUGUUGAAGCUCAAUUAAGCAAUAUGGCCAAUUAGACCUGUGGUCAGAUGCUUGUAACUAGUUUGCCACUUUUUUGGACAAUUAUCCUCUUAGGCUUUUACGCCUUUCAUGAUGACAUAGAUAUUUUUGCUAUACAUUCCAAACAUAAUAUAAGUUUUUUGGUGUCUAAUGUUCAAGAAAUUUCCUUAAGUCAUGAUCUUUCUCCUUCUUAAAUCAUUUUUAUUUAUUCUUUAUUUUUAUUCCUUGAAAUUUCCCAAAUGUUUGCAUAAUAAUAAUAAAAAUAUAUAUCAAAUUAUUGGAAGCAUAUUAGUUUUGGAUAAGGUUGCAACUUGGGUAAGUUGAUUGGAUUGAUAGUUAACUCGAGUCUAACCUGAAUUAAAAAAUAAUCAAAUUGAACUCAACUUAACUCAGCUUCUAACCCACAGUAUUCAACCCAACAUCAUUUCUUUAAGUUCAAAUUGGUCAUAUUAUAGAUAUAACAAAAUUUUAAGAUAGUAACAAAAUAAAAAUAAAAAUAAAUUUAUAUAGCUUUACUAAAAAUGAAAAAAUAUAUAUGACAUAAUAUAACUUAAUAUUUAAAAAAAAAAUGAGCUUGAGUUGAAAAAACCUAAUCCAAACCCAACCUGUAUAUUGAAAAUAAUUGUCCAAUCUUAUUCAUAUCUUGGGUGGAUUGAACCAAUCAGCCAAAGCUAAACCCCUAGUUUUGGCUAAAUUCAUUUUUUUUCCCUACAAAAUGAAAAAACUUAAAUAAAUUAUUUUAAUAUGAGUUUUUAUUAAAUAUGGUUAAAAUUCAUUUUAAAAAAAUUUAAAUUAUUAAAUUUUAUUUCUUUACUAUUUAACACAUAAUAGGCCUUAUUAUAUUAUAAAAAUAUAUUAAAAAAAGAGAUAUUUUCCUUACUUUCAAAAUAUUAAUAUUUUCAAAGGUUUGAUUUCUUAAUAAAUGCUAUUUAUAUUAUAAAUGUUUUUUAAAAGCAUGGUUAAACUAAGUAUGAUUAUGAUUACUAAAAAACACUUUUCGAUUACUGAAAAACACUUUCUUUUAUAGGUAAAUGAAGAGUAUGUUUGACCGUAAUUCUAAAAAAUAUUUUUAACACUUGAAUGAUAAAAUUUUUAAAAUAUUAAAAAUGUUAUAAAUACUUCUUAAAAUCACGGUAAAAUAGUUGAAAUGACAUUUGUAUUACUAAUGUCUUCCAUUUCCAUAACACAAGUUAUCACCAUUCAUCUUCUUGUUGUAAAAAUAUUCAUUAGGCACAAACUUCCCCCCCUUCGUUUCUCUUAUCCUUUCCUCGCAAUAUCUUCACCUCUCUUUUCACUUAUCCUUUCCCCUUAUGUUGUAGGUCCUUGAACAGAUCUUCAGAAUUGAUCGCCAUAUGCAUUUCCCAUCAACCUCAAUUACCAAACUAUUAACUUGACCAAUAUUUCAUAAUUCGUAGGAAUUAAUUCAAAUGGAUAGACACAAUCAUAGUCU
Molecule: long non-coding RNA, 43057 nt
Filed under: Vitis vinifera (wine grape)
Lineage: Eukaryota; Viridiplantae; Streptophyta; Magnoliopsida; Vitales; Vitaceae
Description: long non-coding RNA (VVIN_LNC003931)
Source: RNAcentral